Molecule: ribosomal RNA, 484 nt
Filed under: uncultured bacterium
Lineage: Bacteria
Description: partial 16S ribosomal RNA
Rfam family: Bacterial small subunit ribosomal RNA
Source: RNAcentral
AUUGAACGCUGGCGGCAUGCUUUACACAUGCAAGUCGAACGGCAGCGCGGGCUUCGGCCUGGCGGCGAGUGGCGAACGGGUGAGUAAUACAUCGGAACGUGCCCAGUAGUGGGGGAUAGCUCGGCGAAAGCCGGAUUAAUACCGCAUACGACCUGAGGAUGAAAGCGGGGGAUCUUCGGACCUCGCGCUAUUGGAGCGGCCGAUGGCGGAUUAGCUAGUUGGUGGGGUAAAGGCCUACCAAGGCGACGAUCUGUAGCUGGUCUGAGAGGACGACCAGCCACACUGGGACUGAGACACGGCCCAGACUCCUACGGGAGGCAGCAGUGGGGAAUUUUGGACAAUGGGCGAAAGCCUGAUCCAGCAAUGCCGCGUGUGUGAUGAAGGCCUUCGGGUUGUAAAGCACUUUUGGCGGGAACGAAAAGGACUGUGCCAAUACCACGGUUCGAUGACGGUACCCGCAGAAUAAGCACCGGCUAACUACGUG